RNAcentral lists this ribosomal RNA (354 nucleotides) under Pseudomonas monteilii. Its description in RNAcentral is "bacterial SSU rRNA". It matches the Rfam family "Bacterial small subunit ribosomal RNA", at positions 125 to 481 of the family's 1533-position model. Lineage: Bacteria; Pseudomonadati; Pseudomonadota; Gammaproteobacteria; Pseudomonadales; Pseudomonadaceae. The record is from RNAcentral.
UCCGCCUGGUGGUGGGGGACAACGUUUCCACCGGAACUACUAAUACCGCAUACGUCCUACGGGAGAAAGCAGGGGACCUUCGGGCCUUGCGCUAUCAGAUGAGCCUAGGUCGGAUUAGCUAGUUGGUGGGGUAAUGGCUCACCAAGGCGACGAUCCGUAACUGGUCUGAGAGGAUGAUCAGUCACACUGGAACUGAGACACGGUCCAGACUCCUACGGGAGGCAGCAGUGGGGAAUAUUGGACAAUGGGCGAAAGCCUGAUCCGCCAUGCCGCGUGUGUGAAGAAGGUCUUCGGAUUGUAAAGCACUUUUAAGUUGGGAGGAAGGGCAGUAAGUUAAUACCUUGCUGUUUUGAC